Long non-coding RNA from Heterocephalus glaber (naked mole-rat), 4540 nucleotides. NCBI's taxonomy places the organism in Eukaryota, Metazoa, Chordata, Mammalia, Rodentia, Bathyergidae. The record is from Ensembl.
GUAACUUAUUCUGCAGGUGUUUUGAAACAUGAGCAAGCAUUUAUAAUAAAUUUUAACUUGAUAAAUGAGUGAUGUCUUCAAAUACAAGUGGUACAUGAUGCUAAAAAAAAAGGCAGAGGAAUACCUCACUUCAAAUGACAUUAAGAAGGUGUGUAAAAUGUGGGAAACAGUGCAAAAUUUUGUAGAAAGGCACAUCCAAAUAAGGCUGUAGCAAUGCAAGCAGUGAAUCUAUUUAAUAACAAGGCAGUGUCACAUUUUCAUGAAAUCCUCAAAAGGAGGCAAGAGUAAGGUUAGGUUUCUUGUUAAAGUUGCACAAAAAGAAAAGCAUUUCAUCAAGCCAGCCAAUAGACAGCAGUGAUUCUGUUAGUGAUAGUGAAAGUUGUCCUACACAGUAACCCUCCUCUCUCUUGUCUGCUUCACACCAGCCAUGAAGGUUUUCAAAGGAUUUCCUUUAUUUCGGAAGAAGAACUUUGAUGCACUGAUUGUUGAUACUCCCCCUCCUUGUCAAAAAGCUCCUCAGAUGUCAUUCUCUGUUGCUCAGCCAGAAGUUGUUGAAGUUCCUCUGAAAACAAUUCCUCUGAGUGUUCCUCCACCAGUUCCUCAACAUCACUAUUGUCUACCUGCAAGCCUAUGGUCUCUGUUAUAGUGACAAUGUGAUCAACCACAUGGUCAAUUGAAGACUCAGGCUCCUCUAUAUAGCCUUCAGAGUCUCUCUCCUGUAUAAUUUUAGGCCACACUUUCAGUUGAGCCAAUCUCAGUGUCUUUAGAGAAAUGUUGGCCCAGGAUCUCUCAAGUAAUCUCACAUAAGAAAGGAUGUUUUAAUGUUCCUUACAUAACUCUUUAAGGAUUAAAGAAAUCUGUAUCUGAGACCGUCUGGAAGCACUUCAUGAAUAGUUCCUUGGUGUAUAGCUUCUUAAAGUUAGCUAUAAUGCGCUGGAGUAGAGCAGUUAUAUUAGGUGGGAGGAACUUGACUGAGAGCAGUGGGAAUUCUUCAGCUAAGUCUUCUUAUAAAUCUCGUGGGUGAGCAGAAGCAUUGUCCAUAAUGAGGAGCACCUUGAGUGGUAAACCUUUGUCCUCUAGAUAAUUCUUAACAAUAGGACAGAAAGCCUUCCUGAUCCACUUAAGAAAAACUACUCUUCUUACCCAUGCUUUUGUGUUAGAUCUCCACAUGACCCCUAGCCUAUUCUUCAUGACUUUAUGUUUUCUGAAUUCUCUAGGGAUCUCAGAGUGAUAAACCAAAAGGGGCUUUACCUUGAGGUCACCGCUGGCAUUGGCACAUUUUGAUAGGUUUGUGGCCUGGUAUUUUCUUUUCUUCCUGGGUAAUGUAUAUUCUCCUGGGUAUUUUCUUCCAGAAAAGUCCAGUUUUAUCACAGUUGAUAAUGAUGUGAGCAAAAGCCAUUUCUCUGUGUCAUCAUUUCAUAGUAUGUAAUUUUAGCAGCCCUUCCACCAGGACUGGCUGCUUCACUAUGGCUAGUUAUGCUAUGAACCCCAGUUCUCACUUUAAAAUUGUGAAACUACUCCUUACUGGCAUAAAAUGUUUAACCUUAUCACUCAUUGAGGGAUUAUCCUUUAUGAGAUCUGCAUUCAUAGCCCUAGCUUUUUCACAAAUUAUAGACUCAGAUAGGUUAUAACCUGCCAUCUGCCUUUCCUUUAUCUACACUAAUAAUAGCCUUUAUACCUCAUCAGUGACUUACUAAUAUGAGGGACACACUUAGCAACACUAGCUUCCUUAUACAAAUCUUUUCUCUGUAAGAUUGUUGAGGUGGUGGAUUUCAACAUGCUGUACAUAUUAGCAAGGUCAGCUACACGAAAGCCACUCUCACAUUUCUCUACAGUUUCCUUCUUUUCAUUUGUGAUAGCUUUCUUUACCUUCUCUUCCUUCCUUAGCUUCUUUUUCAGCUUUUUGGUGGGCUGCUUUGAUAGCAGUAAUUGUAGCAAUUAUAUAAAGCACUUACUGAAAUCAUGUCCACAAACAUGUGCAUCUGGGCUCAGACUGAUCCUUAUGUAUGCUUACAUAUGCUUUUCUGGGAAUGCAAGUCUAUUUACAACCAUUCAGGUUGUAACUCAAGAUUUUGAUCAUAAGUUAAAACUGAAAUUCCGGCUGUAACCCAAGUUGUUUGUACAAGAAGUUGGUUGUAACUUGAGGGUCCACUGUAUUUUGUUCCUAAUUUUUGAUGAUGUAUAUAAGUAUACUUCAGUGCACAUUUAAAUUUUUUAUUUAUUUCUCAAAGUAAACAUGACACAUUAAAUUUCUUAAUAAAUUAUUUUUAUCUCACAUAAUAAAUUUAAAGUAAAUAAAUGAUGUGCAUCAUAUUUGAAAAACAAAGCAAUCAUUUGCCUUUUUGUAUAUUGUAAACAAUAAAGAUUUAAAAGUAACUAUUAUGUAUUAUCUUUAAUAAUAUGUCAAUAUCUUAAAAUUAGUUCUUUAAUAUUUUACUGCUUUGUAGAGCUAUAAUUGACAAUAAAUUGCACAUUUAAAUUGAACCUUUUCAUAAUUUUUAUAUAGAUAUAUAAUCCAUAACUACAAUUAAGACAAUGAUCAUAUCCAUCUCCUCCCAAAGUUUCCUUACAUUCUUUUGUAAUGCAAGUAGAAGAGUGGUUGACUAUGGGUAUAUGCCUGCCUGGGCCAGUAUCAUGGGAAGACUCAAGACAACAUUAUAUUUUCCUGGGGAGGCAGGUCAGAGAAGUCCUAAAGAAGGGGUAGAAUUUUCAAAGUAGAUGAAGUGAGUGAGGAAAUGAAUAAUAUUACAGUUAAGAUGAAAAUGUAAGGAGCCUAAUGGCAUAUUCAGGGCAUAAUUAGGACAUUAAGAGAAGAAACUUACUUCUGCUACUUAUUAACUAUGUGUCCUUGAUUAUGUUCUAUUUCAGAGCUUCAUUCUUGAAGCUGUAAAGUGAAAUAAUAGUAUCUAUCUUGUAUUGUUUUGAGGAUUAAAGAUAUAAAUAUAUGACACUUUAUGUCAUACAUAGCUGACAAUCGAUAAGUGGUUGCUACAACUAUUAUUACUACAACUGUUUCUACUAUUACCAUUCCUUUUAGCAUUUCUGAUACAUAAAGCUUAAAAAGGAAGCAAAGAGUGGGGCAUGGUGCCUCACACCUGUAAUUUCAGCAUUCUGAAGGACCGAGGUAGGAGGAUCACAAGUUAGAUCCCAGGUUGGGCAUCUUAGCAAUUUAGUGAGACCUGUCUCAAAAUUAAAAAAAUAAAAAGGGUUAGAGCCCAAAGGCCCUGAUUUCAGUCCUCACUACCUUCAACACAAACAAAUAAACACAAACAAGGGAGCCAAUGGCGAUCAAACUAGAAAGGUAGGCAAGAUUGAAGCUACCAAGAGCCUUGAAUUCAAUGUUAAUACACUCUCACUUGAUUCUGUGGCUUCUGAGUUACUAAGUCUUAAGGGAUUUUAGCAGAGGAUUAAUAUUUUUUUUGAAGUUGGCUAUUCACACCCCUGCUUUUGAAACCAAUAUACUGGGGAUGAUUGAGAGAUGAUGGAGAAAGUUAGGUAGCCCACAAAUACAUUAAAUAUGAGAUAAGAGUCAAAUUACAAUUUAAAACUUGCUAAAGAUAGUGUGCAACAUAGAUAGCUAUAGGUGGAGCACAUAUCAGGCAAGACACAUAUAACAACCUAAUAAUACAUAAAUAAAAAGAUAAGUAGAUAGAAUUUCAGUUCUGUCUCCCAUUUAAUAUGUGAUUCUUCCUUACCCGAGACCACUUUUCAACAGAGUUAGGUUAACUAGUUAUUCCUAUCAUAUUUCUACCACUUCCUGCAACCUUUCCCAAUAAAAAAGAUACCUAGUAUUUCAUUUUAUUGAAUACUUGGCCACUUCUAAUUGUAAAGUUACACUUAAUCAAAAAGCUGGAUUCACACUGAAGUAAUCGACUAGCUAAUUACUCUCCUGGGAUUGUGGCCUUAGAUUAAUCAUUACAAAUAAUGGGAAACUAGAUAAACUUAACUCUUUUUUUCAGAGCUUGAAUUUCAAGCAAGGAGAAAAUAGUAUUAUUUUUAUGGUUUUAAAUUCUCUCAAUUUCUAGAUGAUGCAGCUGUGUCCUCAUUGUAUUUUAUGGCCAGGAAAAAAAGCCCCUCAGCAGUUCCUAUAAUUUCAAAUUUAUAACUAUGUCCAGGGUAAUUCACCCAUAAGCCAACUAGAAAUAAAAAUAGAACAGAUAGACCCAUCUGUUGGGAUGAUUUCUUAACUGUGGAAAACAUUUUCCUGUCUUUAAAAGCAAAGCUGUAAAAUCUCUAUAAAUUUCAAUCCACAAACCAUGAAACUCUAAUUUUUCCACUUCUCUAGUCACUUUGAGUAAAUGAUUUUUGCAUAUAUGAAAUGUCAAAAAUCAACAAAAUGAUCCAAGGUAGUGUGAGAGAUUGAUUUUUGACUACACAAAAGCCUUCUAAGUGAUAGCAAAAAGAUUCUUCAUGUAAAUUAGAACCAAAAAGAAUUUUAUGUUGCUUGGUACUUGUAUUGGAAGAUCUGUAUCUUCAGAUAAUAUAUUUUUCUGCUUUAUAAGUGAUUUUUCAGCACUUUAUCUCAUUGUUUUUAAUUAAC